CGAUUGGAUUAGGCAUGCAAGUCGAGCGGAAAGGCCCCUUCGGGGGUACUCGAGCGGCGAACGGGUGAGUAACACGUGAGCAACCUGUCCUCGACUCUGGGAUAAGCCUGGGAAACCGGGUCUAAUACCGGAUAUGACCUGUCUCCGCAUGGGGGCGGGUGGAAAGGUUGGACCUUUUGGUUCUUCUGGUCGGGGGUGGGCUCGCGGCCUAUCAGCUUGUUGGUGGGGUAGCGGCCUACCAAGGCGACGACGGGUAGCCGGCCUGAGAGGGCGACCGGCCACACUGGGACUGAGACACGGCCCAGACUCCUACGGGAGGCAGCAGUGGGGAAUAUUGCGCAAUGGGCGAAAGCCUGACGCAGCGACGCCGCGUGGGGGAUGAAGGCCUUCGGGUUGUAAACCUCUUUCGGCAGGGACGAAGUUGACGUGUACCUGCGGAAGAAGCGCCGGCUAACUACGUGCCAGCAGCCGCGGUAAUACGUAGGGCGCGAGCGUUGUCCGGAAUUAUUGGGCGUAAAGAGCUCGUAGGCGGCUGGUCGCGUCUGCCGUGAAAGCCUGCGGCUUAACCGUGGGUCUGCGGUGGAUACGGGCCGGCUUGAGGUAGGCAGGGGCAAGCGGAAUUCCUGGUGUAGCGGUGAAAUGCGCAGAUAUCAGGAGGAACACCGGUGGCGAAGGCGGCUUGCUGGGCCUUACCUGACGCUGAGGAGCGAAAGCGUGGGGAGCGAACAGGAUUAGAUACCCUGGUAGUCCACGCCGUAAACGUUGGGCACUAAGUAGAGGGGU
Molecule: ribosomal RNA, 783 nt
Filed under: uncultured Candidatus Brocadia sp.
Lineage: Bacteria; Pseudomonadati; Planctomycetota; Candidatus Brocadiia; Candidatus Brocadiales; Candidatus Brocadiaceae
Description: bacterial SSU rRNA
Rfam family: Bacterial small subunit ribosomal RNA
Source: RNAcentral